GAAAGUAAUGAAGGGCGUACGGUGGAUGCCUAGGCUCUUACAGGCGAUGAAGGACGUGAUAAGCUGCGAAAAGCCGCGGUGAGGCGCAAAUGGCCCUUGACCCGCGGAUCUCCGAAUGGGACAACCCAAUAUCUUGAAGAGAUAUUAUCCCGCCGGUGCGGGAGGCGAACGCGGGGAACUGAAACAUCUUAGUACCCGCAGGAAAAGAAAAUAAAGAAUGAUUCCCCCAGUAGUGGCGAGCGACCGGGGAAGAGCCCAAACCGACGUUGUCUCGGCAUCGUCGGGGUUGUAGGACCGCGCCAUCGCAAGAAAGGCCGUGAGUGGAAGCGACUGGAAAGCCGCGCCAUAGAGGGUGACAGCCCCUUACACGAAGCAGCCCGAAGCGUAGCGGACUCCUGAGUAGCGCGGGACACGAGUAAUCCUGUGUGAAUCCGCCGGGCCCAUCCGGCAAGGCUAAAUACUCGUAAGAGACCGAUAGUGAACCAGUACCGUGAGGGAAAGGUGAAAAGUACCCCUUGCAGGGGAGUGAAAGAGUUCCUGAAACCGUACGCCUACAAGCGGUCGGAGCAUCUUGAAUGAUGUGACGGCGUGCCUUUUGCAUAAUGAACCUACGAGUUGCCGUCACCAGCGAGGUUAAGUGCGAUGACGCACCGAGCCGCAGCGGAAGCGAGUCUUAAAAGGGCGCGAUAGUUGGUGGAGGCAGACGCGAAACCGAGUGAUCUACACUUGUCCAGGAUGAAGUCCCGGUAACACGGGAUGGAGGUCCGCACCAAUAAGCGUUGAAAAGCUUCUGGAUGAGGUGAGUGUAGGAGUGAAAGGCCAAUCAAACUCGGAGAUAGCUCGUACUCCCCGAAAGGCAUUUAGGUGCCGCCUGUGGCGUUCCCGACGUGAGGUAGAGCGACUGAUAGGAUGCGAGGGCUUCACCGCCUAUCAAGUCCUGACAAACUCCGAAUGCACGUCGGCCAAGCCAUGGAGUAAGGGCAUGGGUGCUAAGGUCCGUGCCCGAGAGGAGAAGAAUCCAGACCACCGGCUAAGGUCCCGAAAUACUGGUUAAGUUAGACUAACGCAGUCCGGCCCCCAAGACAGCUAGGAUGUUGGCUUGGAAGCAGCCAUUCAUUCAAAGAGUGCGUAACAGCUCACUAGUCGAGGAGCUGGGCGUGGAUAAUAAUCGGGUAUGAAACCAGUUACCGAAGCCGUGGGAUGCUUAAGCAUCGGUAGGGGAGCAUUGCAUGCGGCUUAGAAGGCGGGGCGCGAGCCCCUCUGGAGCGCAUGGAAACGCAAAUGUAGGUAUAAGUAACGACAAGGGGGGUGGGAUGCCCCCCCGCCGAAAGACCAAGGUUUCCUGAACAACGCUAAUCGGUUCAGGGUCAGUCGGGUCCUAAGCAUAAGCCGUAUGGCGAGGGCGAUGGACGAAACGGUUAAUAUUCCGUUACUGUCUUGGUGUGUGACGCGGCGACGGAGUAGUGACACGGCCGCCUCCUGACGGAAAAGGGGGUUGAAGCGCAAAGGUGUCGAGGAAGGCAGGCAAAUCCACCUUCCGAGCCGAAGCGCGAAAGUACGCCGGGCCCUUUGGGGCAAGGCGAUAGUGCCGGUAAUCAGACUUCCAAGAAAACCCGCUAAACUUCAGCACCAAGUCACCCGUACUCUAAACGGACACACGUGGUCGGGUAGAAUAUACUAAGGCGCUUGGGAGAUUCACGGUUAAGGAACUAGGCAAAUUGACCCCGUACCUUCGGAAUAAGGGGUCCUCGCUUUUGCGAGGCGCAGAGAAUAGGUCCAGGCAACUGUUUAACAAAAACACAGGGCUGUGCAAAUUUGAAAGAAGAAGUAUACAGCCUGACACCUGCCCGGUGCCGGAAGGUUAAGAGGAGAGCUCAUCAGCGAUGAGAAGGCUUGAAUUGAAGCCCCGGUAAACGGCGGCCGUAACUAUAACGGUCCUAAGGUAGCGAAAUUCCUUGUCAGGUAAGUUCUGACCCGCAUGAAAGGCGUAAUGAUUUGGGCACUGUCUCAACAGCCCGCCCGGCGAAAUUGUAGUACCGGUGAAGAUGCCGGUUACCCGCGACAAGACGGAAAGACCCCAUGGAGCUUUACUGUAGCCUAAUAUUGGGUUUCGAUGUUGCAUGCACAGGAUAGAUGGGACACUUGGAAACAAUCGCUUUGGCGGUUGCGGAGUGGCCGUUGGGAUACCAUCCUUGCGAUAUUGGAAUUCUAACCUGCGGCUCUGAAUCGAGUCGGGGGACAUUGUUAGGUGGGCAGUUUGACUGGGGCGGUCGCCUCCUAAAGAGUAACGGAGGCGUUCAAAGGUUCGCUCAGCUUGAACGGAAAUCAAGCAAAAGAGUGCAAACGCAGAAGCGAGCCUAACUGCGAGACUGACGGGUCGAGCAGUAACGAAAGUUGGAGUUAGUGAUCCGGUGGUAUGUGAGUGGAAAUGCCAUCGCUCAACGGAUAAAAGUUACCCUGGGGAUAACAGGCUGAUCUCCCCCAAGAGUCCACAUCGACGGGGAGGUUUGGCACCUCGAUGUCGGCUCAUCGCAUCCUGGGGCUGUAUUCGGUCCCAAGGGUUUGGCUGUUCGCCAAUUAAAGCGGUACGCGAGCUGGGUUCAGAACGUCGUGAGACAGUUCGGUCCCUAU
Molecule: ribosomal RNA, 2631 nt
Filed under: human gut metagenome
Description: bacterial LSU rRNA
Rfam family: Bacterial large subunit ribosomal RNA
Source: RNAcentral